Molecule: ribosomal RNA, 439 nt
Filed under: uncultured bacterium
Lineage: Bacteria
Description: partial 16S ribosomal RNA
Rfam family: Bacterial small subunit ribosomal RNA
Source: RNAcentral
CUACGGGCGGCUGCAGUGAGGAAUAUUGCACAAUGGGGGGAACCCUGAUGCAGCAACGCCGCGUGGAGGAUGACGCAUUUCGGUGUGUAAACUCCUUUUAUAUGUCAAGAAAAUGACGGUAGCAUAUGAAUAAGCACCGGCUAACUCCGUGCCAGCAGCCGCGGUAAUACGGAGGGUGCAAGCGUUACUCGGAAUCACUGGGCGUAAAGGACGCGUAGGCGGGUUGGAAAGUCAGGUGUGAAAUCCUACAGCUUAACUGUAGAACUGCACUUGAAACUUCUAAUCUAGAGUAUGGGAGGGGGAGAUGGAAUUAGUGGUGUAGGGGUAAAAUCCGUAGAUAUCACUAGGAAUACCGAAAGCGAAGGCGAUCCCCUGGAACAUUACUGACGCUAAGGCGUGAAAGCGUGGGGAGCAAACAGGAUUAGAUACCCCCGUAGUC